RNAcentral lists this ribosomal RNA (478 nucleotides) under uncultured Planctomycetales bacterium. RNAcentral describes it as "bacterial SSU rRNA". It matches the Rfam family "Bacterial small subunit ribosomal RNA", at positions 364 to 832 of the family's 1533-position model. Lineage: Bacteria; Pseudomonadati; Planctomycetota; Planctomycetia; Planctomycetales. The record is from RNAcentral.
UUUCGCAAUGCCCGAAAGGGUGACGAGGCGACGCCGCGUGUGGGAAGAAGGCCUUCGGGUUGUAAACCACUGUCGGGAGUUAAGAAAUACAAGGAUAUUAAUAGUGUCUUUGUUUGACUAAGGCUCCGGAGGAAGCCACGGCUAACUCUGUGCCAGCAGCCGCGGUAAUACAGAGGCGGCAAGCGUUGUUCGGAAUUAUUGGGCGUAAAGAGCACGUAGGCGGCUAUGUAAGUCGGUUGUGAAAGCCUUCCGCUCAACGGAAGAACAGCAUCCGAUACUACAUGGCUUGAGUGCGGGAGGGGAGAGUGGAACUUCUGGUGGAGCGGUGAAAUGCGUAGAUAUCGGAAGGAACGCCGGCGGCGAAAGCGGCUCUCUGGCCCAUAACUGACGCUGAGUGUGCGAAAGCUAGGGGAGCAAACGGGAUUAGAUACCCCGGUAGUCCUAGCCGUAAACGAUGGGCACUAAGUAGAGGGGUUUU